This 310-nucleotide long non-coding RNA is filed under the name Solanum tuberosum (potato). RNAcentral's name for it is "long non-coding RNA (STUB_LNC004086)". The record is from RNAcentral. Lineage: Eukaryota; Viridiplantae; Streptophyta; Magnoliopsida; Solanales; Solanaceae.
UAACGACCAACCCCUAAAUUUGUGCAGAAGAACGAAUUUACUUCGUGGGGGUCUUUGCCACUUAUUGCUGUUGUAUUAUUCCAGAAGCCUAACUUCAGGUACUUUCUCUUCCUCUGCAAAAAAAUAAAUAGGUAGGAAGAGAGGUGUUUGCUCACUACAUGGAUGCUAAUAAUCGAAAACUUGUGUACUUGUCACUUCUCAGUGAACUAAGCUUACCUUGACUGAUUGUGCAUGCUGUACCAUAAAAUGCCCCAGAGGAUCUUUACCUAAUGUUGCAGCACAAAUGGGACAAACCUGUUCAAGAAAAACA